Long non-coding RNA from Homo sapiens (human), 3657 nucleotides. RefSeq lists it as uncharacterized. The record is from RefSeq and is a predicted model, not a curated record. The transcript is spliced from 3 exons. Lineage: Eukaryota; Metazoa; Chordata; Mammalia; Primates; Hominidae.
UGUAAUACCUACACCAGCAGCAUUGCCAUUAUCUGGAAACUUGUGGGAAGUGCAGAUUCUUAAGUCUACCUCACACUUACUGACUCUGAGAUUCUGGGAAUAAAUCUGCAUUUUAUAACAGUCUUCCAUAUAUUUCUUAUGUGCUCUGAGAACCAGUGAGCCACUGAACUAGAUGAAAGAACUGCAUGGAAAAAUAAUAGGUUUAUACAGACUGCUGUUUCGUAAAUGUUCAAAGAACUUCCUCCAGCUAGAAGCAGAAGAGAAGAGGCAGAGGGGCAAACAGAAGGAUUCAAAAUAUAAGAAAGACUGAAUGCUCUGUUGGUUUGACAAUGGAGGAGCCACUUCAGAAGAAAUGCAGGUGUCAUUAAGGAGCAGAGAGAUUACCAGCUGACAGUAAGUAUAUGGGAAUCUUAGACUUACAAAUACACAAAACUUAAUUUUGCCAACAAUUCAAAUGAUCUUGUAAGUGGAUUCUACCUGAUAGUCUCCAAAAAAGAGCCCAGGAGAGCUGACUUUGAUUUUAGCCUUUUGGGCAAAUAAAUCAAGUCCAUCUGGUUCUAUCUUCACUUCUGUGAGGUAAUAAAUAAAUAUUUUAAGUUGCAAAUUUGCAUUGAUUUUGUUUAAGAAAUAAAUAGUACAUUAGUAUAAAUACCUAUAGAGCAAAAGACGAGACAAAACUUAUUUUGUCAGAAUAUUGAGAAAUGUCCACCAAACACAUGAUUAACUAACUAGAUGAAGAGGAGAAAAAAAAAAUGGUAGCAAACACAGAAGCCUGCUAUACUGAGAGAAAGCAAGAUGUUGCAAUAUCUAGUGCCCUUCCAUCCCCAUAGUCACCACAUGGGUUUAAAAGAUUUGGCUCUAUAAGAAAUAGACAACCAAGUAGUGUUAUUCUUGCCUAAAUUCAAUCAGAGUAUAUUGCCAAAUCACAGAGUUUCUAAAUCAAGUAGAAGUUUGCAAAUAUGAAUAAGUGGCAGAUUCUUCCUGAUAGGGCCACAUUGUAUUAGGUUGGUUCAAAAGUAAUUGUCACUAAAAGUAAUGGCAAAAAACACAAUUACUUCUGCAGCAACCUGACAUCUUGAGGUGGCAGUGUGCUCAAAAAUUUGUAGUAGCAAAUUCAAAUAGAAAAUUCCAAAGAAAAAAAAUGCAAAGAUGAAAUAAACAUAAAAAUAGCUCUAAAACAAAACUCUGUUAGCAAGGCAUUUUUAGAACAUAACUUUUUGUGUACUUGUUUCAGCUUGACAGAGGACUAUUUUAGUGGGUAGAAUACGCUGCCCCAAAACUUAAUACCUGCUAUGUUCAUGGAAUUUAGUUUUUAAUUAGAUCUAAACGUUGUAUAUAACCACUAUUUAAUUAAUGAGUCAAGUAAAAGGCCAUAAAAACCCUAUUAUAAAAGAUCUCUAUACAUUUAUAAAUUGUGUGUGUCUGUGUGUGUAUGUAUUUAGAGAGACAGCAAACAGUCUAGCAAACAAAAAAAUGCUGAAAUUGAAGACACUUUUAGAAGAAAACUGCUUAGAUUCUGGUGGAGGAUGCACAAAUAAAUGGCUCUUUGUAGGAAAAAAAAUUCACUUGAACAAAAGAGAGACAAGGGAAAAACGAAUAAUGAAUGCAACAAAUUGAAAAUGUCUAAAUAAAAUUAAUAUAAAAUAUGGCAAAAUGUUCUAUAUAAAUAAUGGAAGACAUAUUUAUUAAUGUGGAGAAUAAAUUUCUUAAGCUUUUUUCUUAAUUAAGGGAAAAAAACCAGAAGUGAUUGGAAUGUUAAUAGUUUUAGCUAUGGAAAACUAUGAAUCUUAACUAUGAAUAACAGAAGAUAAAUAGAAGAAAAACAUUAUAAAAGACAAAUUGAGUUAAAGUAUGUUCUGAGUAAAAAUUACACAAAGCAAGUCAAAAGGAAUUCUAUUUAUUCCAAGGAUAAAGGAAUAGUCUAGAACAUUCAAUUAGGAAAAUGAAAUGUCUAAUAUGGUAAAAAUAAAGUUUUUCUUUGCAGAUGUAAAUGGAAGAUGAAAAGAAAACAAUUAUGAUAAUUUGAAAAUGACACAUUUAUGUUUAGCUUCAAGACAGAGUAGAGAUUUAAAGUAAAUUGUAGUAUUUUAUACUUUUAAAAUAGAAGAUAAUAUUAUAUAUGCAUCAGAAUAUUUUCAGACCUCCAUUUGAUAAUCUGUAAUCCAAAACAAAAAUACACCAAGGAGCUGUAUUAAUUAAAGGUCCUCACUAAAGCUAUGUUUAUAUAUUUCCAAAACUAUUCAAACACAACAAUUUUUAAGUGGAAAUGUCUAUUUUUUCUUUUCUUUACUUAAAUUUGAAAACUUAAUUUUUUUCUCCAUAAAAAUGAACAUUUAUUAACAUUAUAGAAACUUGAUUAUUGUGUUACACUUUCCUUUUGACUCUUUAUGACAUGUCUGCUACAUGGUCUAUGUGGCAUAAGUUUGGUGUGACAGGUAUGAUACACAGGUCGCAUAAUUGGUCCAUAUGAGGAAAUCAAAAAUUAGUUUAUUGACCUUGGUAAUUUGAUUUUACUGCCAUGUUAAAUAGGUAACCAAAAAAAAAAUUGCCAAAUCCUAUCUGACUUCAUAAAGAUUCAUUUUGAAUUCUCUUGUCAGAGUAAAGAACAUUAUUUAUUCUAAUUUAGCCAAUAGCUAAUGUAUGAAAUGAAUACUAGAAAUAUUUACUAUGUUUAUGGAAGUAAGGGAAGGUUAUUCAGAUUUUUAAAAAAUGCCAUUCGACAGAAUGUUAUCACCAGUGAUUGUAUUUGAAAAAUAUACUGCAUCUAAAGAUACAUUUGAGGUCGAAUAUGUUGAGAAUUUACAAGUGAAACAAAUAAAUGCAAUCUAUACAGUGUGGUGCAACGCAAGCGGAGUCAGGGUUUUGUGAACCCUGAGAGAAAGAAAGAUGAAGAGACAGCUGCUAUCCCUUCCCUGGUGACAUUCCAGUGCCUCGUCUUUCCCACUGCGAGCCUGGAAUAGGGAGAUGGUGCUGUAUCUGUAACAUGAAAAUCAUAUAUUUUAAAAUCACGUAAGUCAUGUCACAUCAUGCCUUUAUUAGACAGAUAUUCUUAUUGAAAGAAAUUUACACAACGGGUAUAAAAUGAUAACGAGAUUUAUUUUCUUACAUAUAUAUUUUAAAUUUUUCUACAUCACUAAACGUAAUAUAUAUGAAAUUACAUUACCAAGCAAUAGGCUUAUAUUGUCUAUCAUAGCCAUACCGCAGCCACUACCACUACCACUUUUGGCCACAUACACUGUGGUAAGUCCAAUAUGAGUUGUAUCAUAACUAUAAAAUACACAGUGAAUUUCAAAUUAUUUGUGUGAUAAAAAUAAUGUAGAAAAUGUAUAUAUUACAUACAUAUAUAUGUACAUAUACAUAAUAAAAUGAUGUAGAUGUAGAUACCAAAAGCCAUUCAGUCUUUUAUCACUGAACAUGAUGUUAGCUCUAGGUAUAAAGUUGUUGCCCUUUAUCAACUUAAGGAAAUCAAUUUAUAUUGCUACAUUGAUCAUUUUUAAAAUAAAACAUUUACUAGAUUUUGUCAAGUGCUUUUUUUAAAUCUAUUGAGACAGUCAUAUGUUUACUUGUUUGUUUGUUUGUUUUUAGUCUAUAAUAUGUUGAAAACCCUCGAUUUGUAUUCAAAUGUUAAACCACUCCUUCAUUUCUUGGGUGAACUCU